UUGAACCUUAUAAUAACAGCCUAAUAUAAAUCUUCCUGUAACAUGUAAAGAAAACAAUAAUAUACACACAAAAUCCAAGCCAAAUGUAAACAAAACAAUUUGUAGCAGCAAGUCGCCAUGUAUAUGUAUGAAUUACAUAACGACCAAAUUUUCCCAACUGCACAUCUUUAUGUAAAUCCAAGCAGCUUAUUCUAAAAUCAUGAAUUGAAAAAUCAUAACAACCACGACAGAUACACUACAGAACUUUCUCAAUACACAACAGCCUUUUACUAAUAAAACUAUGGCAUAUAACAAUGAAUCUCAUAGCAACCUAACCAAAACAACUAUAUGAUUAAAGCCAA
RNAcentral lists this long non-coding RNA (341 nucleotides) under Lathyrus oleraceus (garden pea). Its description in RNAcentral is "Pisum sativum (pea) long non-coding RNA (PSAT_LNC020185)". Lineage: Eukaryota; Viridiplantae; Streptophyta; Magnoliopsida; Fabales; Fabaceae. The record is from RNAcentral.